Molecule: ribosomal RNA, 388 nt
Filed under: uncultured Psychrilyobacter sp.
Lineage: Bacteria; Fusobacteriati; Fusobacteriota; Fusobacteriia; Fusobacteriales; Fusobacteriaceae
Description: bacterial SSU rRNA
Rfam family: Bacterial small subunit ribosomal RNA
Source: RNAcentral
GCUGGAAUUCUUCUUCGGAAGAUAGUACGGUGGCGGACGGGUGAGUAACGCGUAAAGAAUUUGCCCUUCAGACUGGGACAACUAAUCGAAAGGUUAGCUAAUACCGGAUAUUAUGAGACCUUGGCAUCAAGGACUUAUGAAAGCUAUAUGCGCUGGAGGAGAACUUUGCGUUCCAUUAGCUAGUUGGUAGGGUAAUGGCCUACCAGGGCAACGAUGGAUAGCCGGCCUGAGAGGGUGAACGGCCACAAGGGGACUGAGACACGGCCCUUACUCCUACGGGAGGCAGCAGUGGGGAAUAUUGGACAAUGGACCAAAAGUCUGAUCCAGCAAUUCUGUGUGCACGAUGAAGGUCUUCGGAUUGUAAAGUGCUUUCAGGUGGGAAGAAGAA